CCAAGCCUCCUUCUCCAAUGCCCUCAGACAUCACCAGUCAGAAGUCUUCCAGCUCUGUGUCAUCCGAGGCAUCAGAGACGUACCAGAUGGUCAGCGAGUGCAGCUCUCCCACGCCAUUUGGCUCCUUUGACACCUUCCAUCCAGCUUACCCUUGUAACGACGCCACCAGAUCUUUAAUAGCUCCUGCCUCUGCAUCCUGUAAUUACCUCCCUGGGUCAAAUUCCCCCUCACACACAUCACUGCAUUGGAAGGACUGGGUCUAAAGGCCCUCUCUCUGAGCAGUCUGGGGCCCUUCUGCAGCACAGCAGCGACGCGACAGCAUCCCCUAGUG
Molecule: long non-coding RNA, 331 nt
Organism: Electrophorus electricus (electric eel)
Lineage: Eukaryota; Metazoa; Chordata; Actinopteri; Gymnotiformes; Gymnotidae
Source: Ensembl